GAGGAGCGACAGUGGCAAGGAGAAGGUCUGGUCGGCACAACUCGAGCUCAAGUGGCCGGAAAUCGCAGGAGCUUUAAUCGACAGUUAACACAGCUCCUCUUUCUCUCUCGUUUUGCGCAUAGACGGACCGAAAAUAGGGGAAAGCGGUGACUGGAGGAACUGCUAGUAAAGGAAGGGUGGUUAAGUCGGCCGGAGUUGAGUUCAGGCGAUCGGAAAACGGUGGAGAAGAGAAAAGGGUGUGGUCGGCGCUAUCCGGAAGGAGAGAAGGGUAGGAUAGGAC
Molecule: long non-coding RNA, 280 nt
Filed under: Jatropha curcas
Lineage: Eukaryota; Viridiplantae; Streptophyta; Magnoliopsida; Malpighiales; Euphorbiaceae
Description: long non-coding RNA (JCUR_LNC001674)
Source: RNAcentral